RNAcentral lists this ribosomal RNA (506 nucleotides) under uncultured bacterium. RNAcentral's name for it is "partial 16S ribosomal RNA". It matches the Rfam family "Bacterial small subunit ribosomal RNA", at positions 30 to 523 of the family's 1533-position model. The record is from RNAcentral.
AUUGAACGCUGGCGGCAGGCCUAACACAUGCAAGUCGAACGGUAACAGGAAGAAGCUUGCUUCUUUGCUGACGAGUGGCGGACGGGUGAGUAAUGUCUGGGAAACUGCCUGAUGGAGGGGGAUAACUACUGGAAACGGUAGCUAAUACCGCAUAACGUCGCAAGACCAAAGAGGGGGACCGUCGGGCCUCUUGCCAUCGGAUGUGCCCAGAUGGGAUUAGCUAGUUGGUGGGGUAACGGCUCACCAAGGCGACGAUCCCUAGCUGGUCUGAGAGGAUGACCAGCCACACUGGAACUGAGACACGGUCCAGACUCCUACGGGAGGCAGCAGUGGGGAAUAUUGCACAAUGGGCGCAAGCCUGAUGCAGCCAUGCCGCGUGUAUGAAGAAGGCCUUCGGGUUGUAAAGUACUUUCAGCGGGGAGGAAGGGAGUAAAGUUAAUACCUUUGCUCAUUGACGUUACCCGCAGAAGAAGCACCGGCUAACUCCGUGCCAGCAGCAGCCGCCG